CUCCACUGUUUGACUAAUUUCCUUUCUGUGAAAAAUGUUUUGUUGUUGUUGUUGUGUUUUUUUUUUUUAAUGGCAAAUCAGAUCCUCUUUUAUUUUAACUUAUGUCUGCUGCAUUUCAUCUUGUACUUGUAUGAUGUAUUAGUAUGUGCAUGUUUAGAAUUAUUUUCUUUUGAUUUCACAGGUUAUCCUUAAAGCACUAUCAAACAUCAAGUUAUCAAACCUGAAAGGUAGUCUCUUGAUCAUGGCACAAAACAUGACUACUGUUCCUGGAGGAAGUCUAGCAUGAAGAAUCACGUGGAUUUUUCCUCCACAGAUUUUGCUGUUCCCUCUGAGUAAUGAAAAUCUUUCAAAGCACCCUCAUAAUGGGAAAACUUCGAGAGUUGGAGGCUGACCUAGCAAACUGGGUGCACUUGAACAACAUCCUGAACAAGAAGAAAAUAUCAGCUGAGGUUUGGAAAAUGCUCAGUUUCAAGUAGUUAAGGAAGUUUCAGGUCUGAGUACAACCCUGAAAGGACCCUGAAGGAAAAAAACAAAACAAAACAGAACAAAACAGAACAAAACCAAACCAAACAAAACAAAACUUUACUACAUGUUAUAGAAUCUGUGAAAGCAAAUGCUAGUUUCUCUGUUUU
Molecule: long non-coding RNA, 632 nt
Filed under: Gallus gallus (chicken)
Lineage: Eukaryota; Metazoa; Chordata; Aves; Galliformes; Phasianidae
Description: lncRNA (ENSGALG00010001008.1)
Source: RNAcentral